Molecule: ribosomal RNA, 460 nt
Filed under: Acanthamoeba genotype T4
Lineage: Eukaryota; Discosea; Longamoebia; Acanthamoebidae
Description: SSU rRNA
Rfam family: Eukaryotic small subunit ribosomal RNA
Source: RNAcentral
GUUUACCGUGAAAAAAUUAGAGUGUUCAAAGCAGGCAGAUCCAAUUUUCUGCCACCGAAUACAUUAGCAUGGGAUAAUGGAAUAGGACCCUGUCCUCCUAUUUUCAGUUGGUUUUGGCAGCGCGAGGACUAGGGUAAUGAUUAAUAGGGAUAGUUGGGGGCAUUAAUAUUUAAUUGUCAGAGGUGAAAUUCUUGGAUUUAUGAAAGAUUAACUUCUGCGAAAGCAUCUGCCAAGGAUGUUUUCAUUAAUCAAGAACGAAAGUUAGGGGAUCGAAGACGAUCAGAUACCGUCGUAGUCUUAACCAUAAACGAUGCCGACCAGCGAUUAGGAGACGUUGAAUACAAAACACCACCAUCGGUGCGGUCGUCCUUGGCGUCGGUUUCGGCCGGCGCGAGGGCGGCUUAGCCCGGUGGCACCGGUGAAUGACUCCCCUAGCAGCUUGUGAGAAAACCUAGUUAGG